GAGGGUAUAGCCCAGUGGUAGAGUUUGUGCUUAGCAUGCAUGAGGUCCUGGGUUCAAUCCCCAGUACUGCCA
This 72-nucleotide transfer RNA is filed under the name Camelus bactrianus (Bactrian camel). It matches the Rfam family "tRNA". From Rfam's summary of the family: Transfer RNA (tRNA) molecules are approximately 80 nucleotides in length. Their secondary structure includes four short double-helical elements and three loops (D, anti-codon, and T loops). The record is from Rfam by way of RNAcentral. RNAcentral also lists the same sequence under 2 other names. Lineage: Eukaryota; Metazoa; Chordata; Mammalia; Artiodactyla; Camelidae.